Molecule: ribosomal RNA, 631 nt
Filed under: Vibrio sp. FC1
Lineage: Bacteria; Pseudomonadati; Pseudomonadota; Gammaproteobacteria; Vibrionales; Vibrionaceae
Description: bacterial SSU rRNA
Rfam family: Bacterial small subunit ribosomal RNA
Source: RNAcentral
AUGCAAGUCGAGCGGAACGACUUAACUGAACCUUCGGGGAACGUUAAGGGCGUCGAGCGGCGGACGGGUGAGUAAUGCCUGGGAAUAUGCCUUAGUGUGGGGGAUAACUAUUGGAAACGAUAGCUAAUACCGCAUAAUGUCUUCGGACCAAAGAGGGGGACCUUCGGGCCUCUCGCGCUAAGAUUAGCCCAGGUGAGAUUAGCUAGUUGGUGAGGUAAGAGCUCACCAAGGCGACGAUCUCUAGCUGGUCUGAGAGGAUGAUCAGCCACACUGGAACUGAGACACGGUCCAGACUCCUACGGGAGGCAGCAGUGGGGAAUAUUGCACAAUGGGCGAAAGCCUGAUGCAGCCAUGCCGCGUGUAUGAAGAAGGCCUUCGGGUUGUAAAGUACUUUCAGUAGGGAGGAAGGUUCAUGCGUUAAUAGCGUAUGGAUUUGACGUUACCUACAGAAGAAGCACCGGCUAACUCCGUGCCAGCAGCCGCGGUAAUACGGAGGGUGCGAGCGUUAAUCGGAAUUACUGGGCGUAAAGCGCAUGCAGGUGGUUCAUUAAGUCAGAUGUGAAAGCCCGGGGCUCAACCUCGGAACCGCAUUUGAAACUGGUGAACUAGAGUGCUGUAGAGGGGGGUAGAA